This 863-nucleotide ribosomal RNA is filed under the name uncultured bacterium. Its description in RNAcentral is "bacterial SSU rRNA". It matches the Rfam family "Bacterial small subunit ribosomal RNA", at positions 58 to 916 of the family's 1533-position model. The record is from RNAcentral.
CAAGUCGAACGGCAGCACGAGAGCUUGCUCUUGGUGGCGAGUGGCGAACGGGUGAGUAAUAUAUCGGAACGUAUCCAAUAAUGGGGGAUAACUAAUCGAAAGGUUAGCUAAUACCGCAUACGCCCUACGGGGGAAAGCAGGGGAUCUUCGGACCUUGCGUUAAUGGAGCGGCUGAUAUCUGAUUAGCUAGUAGGUGAGGUAAAGGCUCACCUAGGCUUCGAUCAGUAGCUGGUCUGAGAGGACGACCAGCCACACUGGAACUGAGACACGGUCCAGACUCCUACGGGAGGCAGCAGUGGGGAAUUUUGGACAAUGGGCGCAAGCCUGAUCCAGCCAUUCCGCGUGAGUGAAGAAGGCCUUCGGGUUGUAAAGCUCUUUCGCAAGGGAAGAAACGAUACCGACGAAUAAUCGGUGUUAAUGACGGUACCUUGAUAAGAAGCACCGGCUAACUACGUGCCAGCAGCCGCGGUAAUACGUAGGGUGCGAGCGUUAAUCGGAAUUACUGGGCGUAAAGCGUGCGCAGGCGGUUUUGUAAGUCAGAUGUGAAAUCCCCGGGCUCAACCUGGGAACUGCGUUUGAAACUACAAGGCUAGAGUAUGGUAGAGGGGGGUAGAAUUCCACGUGUAGCAGUGAAAUGCGUAGAGAUGUGGAGGAAUACCAAUGGCGAAGGCAGCCCCCUGGACUAAUACUGACGCUCAUGCACGAAAGCGUGGGGAGCAAACAGGAUUAGAUACCCUGGUAGUCCACGCCCUAAACGAUGUCUACUAGUUGUUGGGAGAGUAAAAUCUCUUAGUAACGCAGCUAACGCGUGAAGUAGACCGCCUGGGGAGUACGGUCGCAGAUUAAACUCAAGGAAUUGACGG